GACGAACGCUGGCGGCGUGCCUAAUACAUGCAAGUUGAGCGCUGAAGGUUGGUACUUGUACCAACUGGAUGAGCAGCGAACGGGUGAGUAACGCGUGGGGAAUCCGCCUUUGAGCGGGGGACAACAUUUGGAAACGAAUGCUAAUACCGCAUAAAAACUUUAAACACAAGUUUUAAGUUUGAAAGAUGCAAUUGCAUCACUCAAAGAUGAUCCCGCGUUGUAUUAGCUAGUUGGUGAGGUAAAGGCUCACCAAGGCGAUGAUACAUAGCCGACCUGAGAGGGUGAUCGGCCACAUUGGGACUGAGACACGGCCCAAACUCCUACGGGAGGCAGCAGUAGGGAAUCUUCGGCAAUGGACGAAAGUCUGACCGAGCAACGCCGCGUGAGUGAAGAAUGUUUUCGGAUCGUAAAACUCUGUUGGUAGAGAAGAACGUUGGUGAGAGUGGAAAGCUCAUCAAGUGACGGUAACUACCCAGAAAGGGACGGCUAACUACGUG
Molecule: ribosomal RNA, 497 nt
Filed under: uncultured bacterium
Lineage: Bacteria
Description: partial 16S ribosomal RNA
Rfam family: Bacterial small subunit ribosomal RNA
Source: RNAcentral